CUUGUUUCUUUUUUAUUCGAUUCGUUUUAAUUGAUUGAAUUUGUGGAUGAUUGAUUGAAUUAGAGUGAAUUCUUUUCUGGAUUUUUAGGUUUCGUCAUAGACCUUUUUCGUCUCUAUUGGAAUAUUUUUGGACUGUUGGUUUCCCCAGGAUCUCUAUAUAUACACACAUAACAUCAGUUUUAAUGGGUUUUCAAUCUUUAUAUGCGGGUGUUGAUUAUUUCAGGAAUUGAAGUGAUAUGGUUUUACUACGAUCUCAUCUUGGAAUGUACUCAGAGUAAGAAUUCUGUGGUAACUGGGAGUGAAGCUGUAGAUGAGAUAUGCAAGUUACCCUCGAAAGGGUAAGAAUUCUGUUAAUUAUGUACAGCAAAGUUUCUUCUGAAUACUAGAUUUUGUAUGACUGAAUGCAUUGAGCUUUUGGUGCAUUAUGGACCUAACUAUCAAGAUUUGUCUAAUACUAAAUGGACUUCACAAUUAAUUGCAUAUUAUAUUGUCAACAUUAACAAACAACAAGACCUGAUCAAUCUUUUGGGAGCUACCUAUGCUGUUGUUCUUUUCCUUGCAGCUAGCAAUGCCUCUGCUGUGCAAUUUGUUGUGGCGGUUCAGUAGCAUGAAUGUACUCAGAGUUGCCUUACGCAUUUGCUCAGGUGGCUAUUGAAUUUUAAGAACAAGGCAUUGUUAGAGAGGAAAAGGGAGCUGCUUGUCAUAGAGGAAAAACGAGCACUCCAUGCAGUGAAGGCUUUCCCCAAAGAUGACCCAUCUAACCCCUGGAAGCUGACUGCUUCCCAUAUAUGGAACUAUUGUUACAUUUAUACAAGUCCAAGUGUUGUUCAUCGUAGUUUUAUAGCUUUCUUUCGAUGCUAUUGCAUCGCCUCAU
Rosa rugosa (rugosa rose) is the source of this 874-nucleotide long non-coding RNA. RefSeq lists it as uncharacterized. The transcript has 3 exons. The record is from RefSeq and is a predicted model, not a curated record. Lineage: Eukaryota; Viridiplantae; Streptophyta; Magnoliopsida; Rosales; Rosaceae.